RNAcentral lists this ribosomal RNA (460 nucleotides) under uncultured bacterium. Its description in RNAcentral is "partial 16S ribosomal RNA". It matches the Rfam family "Bacterial small subunit ribosomal RNA", at positions 338 to 795 of the family's 1533-position model. The record is from RNAcentral.
CCUACGGGUGGCAGCAGUGAGGAAUAUUGGUCAAUGGCCGAGAGGCUGAACCAGCCAAGUCGCGUGAGGGAAGACGGCCCUACGGGUUGUAAACCUCUUUUGUCGGGGAGCAAGGCCCGCCACGUGUGGCGGGAAGGAGAGUACCCGAAGAAAAAGCAUCGGCUAACUCCGGGCCAGCAGCCGCGGUAAUACGGAGGAUGCGAGCGUUAUCCGGAUUUAUUGGGUUUAAAGGGUGCGUAGGCGGAAGGUUAAGUCAGCGGUAAAAUGUCGGUGCUCAACACCGGCCUGCCGUUGAAACUGGUCGUCUUGAGUGAGCGAGAAGUAUGCGGAAUGCGUGGUGUAGCGGUGAAAUGCAUAGAUAUCACGAAGAACUCCGAUUGCGAAGGCAGCUCACUGGACUGCAACUGACACUGAGGCUCGAAAGUGUGGGUAUCAAACAGGAUUAGAUACCCUUGUAGUC